This 72-nucleotide transfer RNA is filed under the name Camelus bactrianus (Bactrian camel). It matches the Rfam family "tRNA". Rfam says of the family: Transfer RNA (tRNA) molecules are approximately 80 nucleotides in length. RNAcentral also lists the same sequence under 3 other names. The record is from Rfam by way of RNAcentral. Lineage: Eukaryota; Metazoa; Chordata; Mammalia; Artiodactyla; Camelidae.
GAGGGUAUAGCUCAGUGGUAGAACACAUGCUUAACAUGCAUGAGGUCCUGGGUUCAAUCCGCAGUACCUCCA